Long non-coding RNA from Anguilla rostrata (American eel), 919 nucleotides. RefSeq lists it as uncharacterized. Lineage: Eukaryota; Metazoa; Chordata; Actinopteri; Anguilliformes; Anguillidae. The transcript is spliced from 2 exons. The record is from RefSeq and is a predicted model, not a curated record.
GGGCGACAUAGCUCAGGAGGUAAGACCGAUUGUCUGGCAGUCGGAGGGUUGCCGGUUCAAACCCCGCCCUGGGCAUGUCGAAGUGUCCUUGAGCAAGACACCUAACCCCUAACUGCUCUGGCGAAUGAGAGGCAUCAAUUGUAAAGCGCUUUGGAUAAAAGCGCUAUAUAAAUGCAGUCCAUUUACCAUUUACCAUAUCUACCGCCUUGUAGGUUCUCACUCCAACCCUACCAAAGCACAAUCUUUCAACAGCUGCAAAUUAGUAGAGUCAGGUAUGCUGGAUUAGGGCUGUAAUGAAAACCUACAGGAUGGUAGGCAUCCAGGAACAGGGUUGGCAACCACUGUUUUAAGUUAUUACAUCUCAUAGUUAUUAUUACUCUGUCAGAUGACAGCAGCGACGGUUGGUGAGCUGAAAAUUGGUGGGGCAGAAAACUUUCUGCUGAGUUGAACUAAGCUUCAGGGUAGAGAUAUUGAGAAUAAUUUAUUUGUAACAACAAAUUAUUCUUUAUUAAAACCUAAUGAAAUUCUUCUGUGAAGAAAGCACAUGCGGGUGUGUUUUUAAACUUAUUUGCACAACUGAACCCUGACAAAGUCAAACAUUAAUCCCCUUUUUGCUGAAUAUUUUGAAACUUGGCUUUUGAAGUUCAUGUCAUUUGACCUGAAUCAUCAAUAAAGAACAUGUGUAUAAUGUAUGGUAUUAAUACAUUCAAUUGUAAACAAAGACACCCAGUGUCAUUGAUUCACAGUACAAUUCAACUAUUUGAGUGCUGAUAGCUCCCCCUUGUGGAGAAUCUACUGCCUGCUAAACGUGAGUGAGUGAGUGACUGAGUCAUGAGUGAGUGAGCGAGUGAGUGAGUUACAAGCCAGGUCCAUGAGGUGCUUUGCAUCUAAAUAAAUAAAUAAAUAAAUAAAUCCACAA